Molecule: ribosomal RNA, 253 nt
Filed under: uncultured bacterium
Lineage: Bacteria
Description: partial 16S ribosomal RNA
Rfam family: Bacterial small subunit ribosomal RNA
Source: RNAcentral
UACAGGGGGUGCAAACGUUGCUCGGAAUUAUUGGGCGUAAAGCGCGCGUAGGCGGCCACUUAAGUCGGAUGUGAAAGCCCCGGGCUCAACCUGGGAAUUGCAUUCGAGACUGCAUAGCUAGGGUGCGGAAGAGGGAAGCGGAAUUUCCGGUGUAGCGGUGAAAUGCGUAGAUAUCGGAAGGAACACCAGUGGCGAAAGCGGCUUCCUGGUCCAGCACCGACGUUCAGGCACGAAAGCGUGGGGAGCAAACAGG